This 635-nucleotide ribosomal RNA is filed under the name uncultured Comamonas sp. RNAcentral describes it as "bacterial SSU rRNA". It matches the Rfam family "Bacterial small subunit ribosomal RNA", at positions 897 to 1533 of the family's 1533-position model. The record is from RNAcentral. Lineage: Bacteria; Pseudomonadati; Pseudomonadota; Betaproteobacteria; Burkholderiales; Comamonadaceae.
AAACUCAAAGGAAUUGACGGGGACCCGCACAAGCGGUGGAUGAUGUGGUUUAAUUCGAUGCAACGCGAAAAACCUUACCCACCUUUGACAUGUACGGAACCUUUUAGAGAUAGAGGGGUGCUCGAAAGAGAACCGUAACACAGGUGCUGCAUGGCUGUCGUCAGCUCGUGUCGUGAGAUGUUGGGUUAAGUCCCGCAACGAGCGCAACCCUUGCCAUUAGUUGCUACGAAAGGGCACUCUAAUGGGACUGCCGGUGACAAACCGGAGGAAGGUGGGGAUGACGUCAAGUCCUCAUGGCCCUUAUAGGUGGGGCUACACACGUCAUACAAUGGCCGGUACAAAGGGCAGCCAACCCGCGAGGGGGAGCCAAUCCCAUAAAGCCGGUCGUAGUCCGGAUCGCAGUCUGCAACUCGACUGCGUGAAGUCGGAAUCGCUAGUAAUCGUGGAUCAGCAUGUCACGGUGAAUACGUUCCCGGGUCUUGUACACACCGCCCGUCACACCAUGGGAGCGGGUUCUGCCAGAAGUAGGUAGCCUAACCGUAAGGAGGGCGCUUACCACGGCAGGGUUCGUGACUGGGGUGAAGUCGUAACAAGGUAGCCGUAUCGGAAGGUGCGGCUGGAUCACCUCCUUUAUG